UACGAAGGGGGCUAGCGUUGCUCGGAAUCACUGGGCGUAAAGGGUGCGUAGGCGGGGCUUUAAGUCAGGGGUGAAAUCCUGGAGCUCAACUCCAGAACUGCCUUUGAUACUGAGGAUCUUGAGUUCGGGAGAGGUGAGUGGAACUGCGAGUGUAGAGGUGAAAUUCGUAGAUAUUAGGAAGAACACCAGUGGCGAAGGCGGCUCACUGGUCCGGUACUGACGCUGAGGUGCGAAAGCGUGGGGAGCAAACAGG
This 253-nucleotide ribosomal RNA is filed under the name uncultured bacterium. RNAcentral describes it as "partial 16S ribosomal RNA". It matches the Rfam family "Bacterial small subunit ribosomal RNA", at positions 524 to 776 of the family's 1533-position model. The record is from RNAcentral.